CAGUGGCUUUGGGGUCGACAGCACCGAGAUGGGUCCGAACAGCCCAGGGGAAAGGAACCGGGUCGGGAGGAGCCGAGCCCCACAACUUAGCGCCGGGACGGCCAGGACCGCCCCCGCGGCGCCGCCCCCGCCAGAGCGCCUUCCUGCUGCUGCUACCGCCGUCAGCGCCACCGCCGCCGCCGAGGCUGGGCCGGGGUGCACCCUGGGCGCGGGGACGAACGGAUCCAGCAGGAGUUUCCUCCGAGCGCGCGCCCGCCCGCCGGCCUCUCCCGCCCCCCGGCGCCCCUUCCUCUCCCCUCCCGGACCCGGGCUGCGCGAGGAGGGCGCAGGGGGCGGGCGGCGGCGGCGGCGCGCGGAGGAGGAAAAGGAGCGCAAGGAGAGGAGCGUCCCCGGAGAGAAGCCCGCUCUAGCUGCAGCCGCGAGUCCCCUCCCUCCUUCCCGCCCCGUAAAUGCGGAGAUGGCGGCGGCAGCUGCUAAAGGAAGCGCCGGUUCUCCAGCGCCACUCGGCGCUCCUACACCGCCCACCACGAGCAGGAGGAAACAGCCGCUGCGAAGCGGCUGCUGGGUCAAUAGGCGCCCGCAGCCCCCGAGCCGAACAGGCGACUGGCCCCGCCCCCUCUCGACGCGCCGGAAUAGGGGCGGGGCCUCCGGCGCCCAAUCACAGUGCGCCGCCCAUCGGGCCCGCCCAGCGCCCGCCUCCCUGCGCCCAGGCGGAGAGAAGACCUCAGAGGGCUUUUGUGAGCUGGCAGGCAGCCUGAGUGGAAGUGAGGCCCUCAGAGGCCUUCAGGCGCCAGCAGCCCCGGUUCCACAGGGGCUGAGCUUUCUCCCCACUUCCUUUUUGCUGCCCAGGUUUCCUGUCCUUGAGAACCCGGGCCUGGCGUGCCUGGGACGGCAACUCGGUGAGGGGCUGUAGGAAUAGAGGGAGAAAGGGGCUUUGCGUUCUCUUCAGACUCAUCUUUUCCUCUGUUGCUUUUGGUGACUUCUUGGUGAAACCUGAGGGAAAGGAGACUGCCAAACGACAGCUGGCUACAGAGUUUCUGAGUGGAGUCUAAGAAGUGAUGCUUAUGCGGGUUAUUGCUCUGUUGCCGCGCUGUUCCAAAUCCGCCCUUUUUGACUGCACGGUGAAAAUGGAUCUGGGCCCUUUUAAGCAUCUCGUGUUUUCUUCUGGCAUCCAUGAAACAGUGACAGGCCCAGACCCUUCGCAGAUCCUGAAACUACUCACCAGCCUAGGAGAAUUAUGCCAUUGUUGGCAUAAUCUUCACCUCCCUAUGCUUUCCCUUCCAUGAAAGGAAGCUGAGAGAGAAGAUGAAUCAAGUAACAUAAUAAACUUCUGAGAAG
This is an RNA transcript of Ailuropoda melanoleuca (giant panda), 1338 nucleotides long. It is a transcript of the gene named atherin-like, with no coding region annotated. NCBI's taxonomy places the organism in Eukaryota, Metazoa, Chordata, Mammalia, Carnivora, Ursidae. The record is from RefSeq and is a predicted model, not a curated record. The transcript is spliced from 2 exons.